RNAcentral lists this ribosomal RNA (800 nucleotides) under uncultured bacterium. RNAcentral describes it as "bacterial SSU rRNA". It matches the Rfam family "Bacterial small subunit ribosomal RNA", at positions 65 to 878 of the family's 1533-position model. The record is from RNAcentral.
AGCUUGCUAAGGGUGGAAAUGUUGGCAGUUUAGUGGCGGACGGGUGAGUAACGCGUGGGUAACCUGCCUUACACAGGGGGAUAACACCUGGAAACAGGUGCUAAUACCGCAUAACAGGAAGAGGCGCAUGCCACUUUCUUGAAAACUCCGGUGGUGUAAGAUGGACCCGCGUCUGAUUAGCUAGUUGGCGGGGUAACGGCCCACCAAGGCGACGAUCAGUAGCCGGCCUGAGAGGGUGGACGGCCACAUUGGGACUGAGACACGGCCCAAACUCCUACGGGAGGCAGCAGUGGGGAAUAUUGGACAAUGGGGGGAACCCUGAUCCAGCGACGCCGCGUGAGUGAAGAAGUAUUUCGGUAUGUAAAGCUCUAUCAGCAGGGAAGAAAGAAAUGACGGUACCUGACUAAGAAGCCCCGGCUAACUACGUGCCAGCAGCCGCGGUAAUACGUAGGGGGCAAGCGUUAUCCGGAUUUACUGGGUGUAAAGGGAGCGUAGACGGUGAUGCAAGUCUGAAGUGAAAGGCGGGGGCUCAACCCCCGGACUGCUUUGGAAACUGUAUGACUGGAGUGCAGGAGAGGUAAGUGGAAUUCCUAGUGUAGCGGUGAAAUGCGUAGAUAUUAGGAGGAACACCAGUGGCGAAGGCGGCUUACUGGACUGUAACUGACGUUGAGGCUCGAAAGCGUGGGGAGCAAACAGGAUUAGAUACCCUGGUAGUCCACGCCGUAAACGAUGAUCACUAGGUGUCGGUGGGUAUGGACCCAUCGGUGCCGCAGCAAACGCAGUAAGUGAUCCACCUGGGG